CCUUCUCCUCUCAAACUCUCUCUAACCCUCUCUGAAACCCCAGCCAUAUUCAGCCAGUUUCCACCUUAUUUCUCCGGAAUCAAUGGCACCCAACCCCUAGGUGGCAUGUACUCACCUCCAUGUGCCCUUAUACCACUGUCACUUGAAGAUUCAAGGUUCGGUCUUGAAGGCCUUCGCUCAUAUCUUCGCCGAUUCGAGUUCCACGGUCAUCUCCGGCUUGACUCUGGCAUAUCCUAGCCCUAUAAGCCUAUCUAUGACUCAUUCAACUCGGAACAGACCUUUUCCAGGCCUUUUCACUUCUAGGGUUCUUCUGAAACUCUAGUCUUUCGAGGUUCUCCUAAUUUCUCUAGAUCUGCUCUAGAUAUGUGUUUAUUUUAAGGUUUUAAAACGAUCCUCUAAGUUUCUUUUUUAAAACUGUAGUCUCAAAACUGUUCAUCUUCUUCGACUUAGGAUUUCUUUGAUUUUACUUGUUUUACUGUGAUUCCUGAGUGUUACUCUUACUGUAUUUGCUCUACUGUAACUCCUAUGUGUUUCUACUGUGAUUCCCAUAUGUUUUCU
Molecule: long non-coding RNA, 558 nt
Filed under: Nicotiana benthamiana
Lineage: Eukaryota; Viridiplantae; Streptophyta; Magnoliopsida; Solanales; Solanaceae
Description: long non-coding RNA (NBEN_LNC008495)
Source: RNAcentral